RNAcentral lists this ribosomal RNA (426 nucleotides) under uncultured Actinomycetes bacterium. Its description in RNAcentral is "bacterial SSU rRNA". It matches the Rfam family "Bacterial small subunit ribosomal RNA", at positions 992 to 1420 of the family's 1533-position model. Lineage: Bacteria; Bacillati; Actinomycetota; Actinomycetes. The record is from RNAcentral.
GAAAACUGUUAGAGAUAACAGGUCCGCAAGGGCUUUGCACAGGUGGUGCAUGGCUGUCGUCAGCUCGUGUCGUGAGAUGUUGGGUUAAGUCCCGCAACGAGCGCAACCCUCGUCUUGUGUUGCCAACAGGUAAUGCUGGGAACUCACAAGAGACUGCCGGGGUCAACUCGGAGGAAGGUGGGGACGACGUCAAGUCAUCAUGCCCCUUAUGUCUAGGGCUGCACGCAUGCUACAAUGGCCGAUACAAAGGGCUGCGAUACCGCAAGGUGGAGCGAAUCCCAUAAAGUCGGUCUCAGUUCGGAUUGAGGUCUGCAACUCGACCUCAUGAAGUUGGAGUUGCUAGUAAUCGCGGAUCAGCAACGCCGCGGUGAAUACGUUCCCGGGCCUUGUACACACCGCCCGUCACGUCACGAAAGUCGGUAACAC